This is a long non-coding RNA of Cucurbita moschata (crookneck pumpkin), 571 nucleotides long. RefSeq lists it as uncharacterized. The transcript is spliced from 3 exons. Lineage: Eukaryota; Viridiplantae; Streptophyta; Magnoliopsida; Cucurbitales; Cucurbitaceae. The record is from RefSeq and is a predicted model, not a curated record.
GAAAUAGGAGAAUGACUCUUUCUUACAAGCCAGGCAGGAGAGUGAAAGAAAGGAGGAAAGAACCAAAGACCUAUUGCCGAUUACCGAGGGAAAGAGUUCAAGAAAAGAGAGGUGAACAAUCACUUCCUCAGUCAGAAUAACUCACACUAAGAGAACAAGGGGUUAGUCGAAUUCAGCCUUCUUGCUUGCUUUCGUCUUUACAGGAGAGUGAAAGAAAGGAGAAAGAUAAGUUCCAAAUAGGUUACAGAGUUUAGGAGGAGGCUCAUGAGCUUGACCUUUGCCAGCUGCUUUACCUAGUGAAAGAGUGAAAUCAGUCUAAUUCAUCCUUGUUACAGGAGGGAGAGCAAAAGAAUCUUUGAAGUCCAAUGCAGGGUGUAGAUCAUCUUCUCUUCUUUAUCUGGGCUAAUAUAAUAACUGACUUAAACUUAGUGUUGUGAGACCAAUAGAAUAAUGGAAUCUCAGCCAGCUGCUUUACCUAGUGAAAGAGUGAAAUCCAAUCCGGUUCAUGAGUUUACAGUGAAAGAAAAGAAAACGAAUGAAUUGAAUCAAUCAGGAAAAGGAGAAGACAGGA